GACGAGGGGUCCUAGCGUUGUUCGGAAUCAUUGGGCGUAAAGCGCAUGUAGGUGGCUAUGUAAGUCAGAUGUGAAAUCCCUGGGCUUAACCCAGGACGUGCAUUUGAUACUGCGUAGCUUGAAUAUGGGAGAGGGUAGUGGAAUUCCUGGUGUAGUGGUGAAAUACGUAGAUAUCAGGAGGAACACCGGUGGCGAAGGCGGCUACCUGGCCCAAUAUUGACACUGAGAUGCGAAAGCGUGGGGAUCAAACAGG
This 253-nucleotide ribosomal RNA is filed under the name uncultured bacterium. RNAcentral describes it as "partial 16S ribosomal RNA". It matches the Rfam family "Bacterial small subunit ribosomal RNA", at positions 524 to 776 of the family's 1533-position model. The record is from RNAcentral.